GGACUACACGGGUAUCUAAUCCUGUUUGCUCCCCACGCUUUCGCGCCUGAGCGUCAGCAAUCGGCCAGGGCACUGCCUUCGCCAUAGGUGUUCUUCCGGAUCUCUACGCAUUUCACCGCUCCACCCGGAGUUCCAUGCCCCUCUCCGAUGCUCAAGCCCAGCCGUUUGCCUGGACCUCUCCCGGUUAAGCCGAGAGCUUUCACCAGACACGCGCUGGGCCGCCUGCGCGCCCUUUACGCCCAGUCAUUCCGGACAACGCUCGUCUCCUACGUAUUACCGCGGCUGCUGGCAC
This 292-nucleotide ribosomal RNA is filed under the name uncultured bacterium. RNAcentral's name for it is "partial 16S ribosomal RNA". The record is from RNAcentral.